Molecule: ribosomal RNA, 391 nt
Filed under: uncultured bacterium
Lineage: Bacteria
Description: bacterial SSU rRNA
Rfam family: Bacterial small subunit ribosomal RNA
Source: RNAcentral
GUGCCAGCCGCCGCGGUAAUACGUAGGUGGCAAGCGUUGUCCGGAAUUAUUGGGCGUAAAGGAUGCGUAGGUGGUCUUUUAAGUGAGAUGUGAAAUCCCUGGGCUUAACCCAGGAACUGCAUUUCAAACUGGAAGACUAGAGUGCAGGAGAGGAAAGUGGAAUUCCUAGUGUAGCGGUGAAAUGCGUAGAGAUUAGGAGGAACACCAGUGGCGAAGGCGACUUUCUGGACUGUAACUGACACUGAGGCAUGAAAGCGUGGGGAGCAAACAGGAUUAGAUACCCUGGUAGUCCACGCCGUAAACGAUGAGUACUAGGUGUAGGGGGUCGAACCUCUGUGCCGCAGUUAACACAUUAAGUACUCCGCCUGGGAAGUACGAUCGCAAGAUUAAA